CAAAUGAGGGAAACAGGACUGGGCAGAGAGAGAGGUUGAGUUGGGAUGUAGUAGUUUUAAUGGAGACCUCAGCAGUUCCCACAGGGAGCGCUGGAGCUGGGUGGCCCUUCAGAGUUGUCCUGAAUUAAGGACUGGACCCUCAACUCUGAGAGAAGCCAGACUUGGAUUCAUCUCAUGUUUGGCGCUGAGGACUGAUAGCCAGAGAGGAACUCACCUGAGUACCACAGAAGACUCCCAGCAUGAAGCAAUUGUUAGUAUGAGACCAUCUGUUGUUUGAGGGCAGGGAUGAGUCCCGGGCAUCUCUGCGACUAGCACAGGACUGGCAAUGAGCUGAAUGAAGGUAUGAAUGAGCAGCAUAAUUAACAUUCUUAUCGGAGGCCCCAAACUUUCAACUCAUCAUAGCCCAGCUUCUCAUUUCUCAUCCCUGUUUCUGUGAUCAAUUCAUAGCCCACGUCUCUGUCCUCACUGACAUACUUCUCAUCCAGUAACUGGACACCGAAAGCCAGAGAAGUCGGGUAUUCAGAUUCCAAAUCAUUGUGCUGAGGCAAUCCUGCCUUCGGCUGAAGAAAUAGGGAGCGGGGACAAUGCGUCAGGACGGCCUCUUUUUACUCAGCGUGAGCUUUGUUACUCACCCGAGGUGUUCUACCUUGAAUCAUGGCUUUUGUGAGGAAAACCAGGAUCAUGCAGAAGGAUGAAGUGCUAUUUCCUCAGUGGCACCUUCAGUGCUACUGACACUUUCAAGAAUAUGCGUGUCUAUGCAGCAGAAACAGACACCCUGAGAUGCUGGAUUUGAGAUAAUUCACUGAGUUUUAUCAACAUAUGUGAACACACAGAUUUUCAGCUAAUAUUAGAAGUUGAGAUGAGACUGAUUAACGUGACUCCUAGGCAGGCCUCAUCAUAUCUCCUAAAAGAAGUGCAAGCAUCCUAUUUGAAUACAUACCCUGGCCCUCCUCCUUUUUCCCUUGAGUUCCCUCUUGAGGUUAAUAAAACUUGAUGUAUGAGAUGACGUUGAGUGUCCCAGGCCCAAAGAAGUUCAGGAUGAGUACAAACAUGUGCAUACCGUGGUUAGAAGAUAAGAUUGCUUGGAGUUCUUUGCUUCAUUCUGACCACGUGCAGAUCAGCAUAGAUGGUGAGUGAGGAAAAGCUCUUCCUGUGGACACUUCUGAAUAAGUUCUAAUAACUUGACUAAAAUUUAUUCCAGAAAUAAAAUAUUCAGAGUGCUCAAUUAGAAAUAAAAAACUGGGCUCUGGCUUGAGAUGGUGUUGGUGGGUGAGGAUUCAGCAUUGCAGGUAGACUAUGGGACUGAGGGAUCAAGAUCAGGCAUUCCCAUGAGGAGAUACCAAAGUCAAGCCCAGUCAAGAGCUGUCAAUUCAAAGUCCAGGGGGAAACCAAGGUCAAGGACUAUGCACUACAGUCAGCAUCAAUGCCAGCACACAACAGAGAGUAAAGCAAGCGGAGAGCCUUCGGCUGGAAGUAUCUAAAGGCCAGAUGACUGGUGUAAUUUUCAGAAUUUUUUUGGCUGAAAAUUACAGAAAAUCCAACCCAAAAUGACUUAAUCAGGAAGAAAUUUGGUAGAUUACAAAACUGAAAAGUUCAGGGGGUUGGAUUAUUUCCAGGUAUGGUUUGAUACAGAGAUUGAACAAUGUCAGCAGAACCCAGUUUUCUCUGUCUCUUUCAG
RNAcentral lists this long non-coding RNA (1678 nucleotides) under Homo sapiens (human). RNAcentral's name for it is "HSALNT0004665". The record is from RNAcentral. Lineage: Eukaryota; Metazoa; Chordata; Mammalia; Primates; Hominidae.